Molecule: ribosomal RNA, 380 nt
Filed under: uncultured bacterium
Lineage: Bacteria
Description: bacterial SSU rRNA
Rfam family: Bacterial small subunit ribosomal RNA
Source: RNAcentral
GACGAACGCUGGCGGCGUGCCUAACACAUGCAAGUGGAGCGACGAACCAGGCUUCGGCCUGGGGCAAAGCCGCGAACGGGUGAGUAACACGUGGGUAACCUGCCCUGAUGAUUGGGACAACCCGAGGAAACUCGGGCUAAUACCGAAUGUGCCCUCCGGCCUCAAGGCCGCUGGGGAAAGAAGCUUCGGCCUCCGCAUCGGGAUGGGCCCGCGGCCCAUUAGCUUGUUGGUGAGGUAACGGCNCACCAAGGCGACGAUGGGUAGCUGGUCUGAGAGGACGAUCAGCCACACUGGGACUGAGACACGGCCCAGACUCCUACGGGAGGCAGCAGUGGGGAAUCUUGCGCAAUGCGCGAAAGCGUGACGCAGCAACGCCGCGU